AGUCGAGGGGUAACGGAAGUAGCUUGCUACUAGACGACGACCGGCGCACGGGUGAGUAACGCGUAUGUAAUCUGCCUUGUACAGAGGGAUAGCCCAGAGAAAUUUGGAUUAAUACCUCAUAGUAUUACUGGAUCGCAUGAUUUGGUAAUUAAAGCUCCGGCGGUACAAGAUGAACAUGCGUGACAUUAGCUAGUUGGUAAGGUAACGGCUUACCAAGGCUACGAUGUCUAGGGGUUCUGAGAGGAUGAUCCCCCACACUGGUACUGAGACACGGACCAGACUCCUACGGGAGGCAGCAGUGAGGAAUAUUGGUCAAUGGACGCAAGUCUGAACCAGCCAUCCCGCGUAAAGGAUGACUGCCCUAUGGGUUGUAAACUUCUUUUAUAUGCAAAUAAACCUACUUUCGUGAAAGUAGCUGAAGGUAGCAUAUGAAUAAACACCGGCUAACUCCGUGCCAGCAGCCGCGGUAAUACGGAGGGUGUAAGCGUNAUCCGGAUUUAUUGGGUUUAAAGGGUACG
RNAcentral lists this ribosomal RNA (518 nucleotides) under uncultured bacterium. RNAcentral describes it as "bacterial SSU rRNA". It matches the Rfam family "Bacterial small subunit ribosomal RNA", at positions 60 to 571 of the family's 1533-position model. The record is from RNAcentral.